UUGACCGUGCAAGGUAGCGCAAUCACUUGUCUUUUAAAUGAAGACCUGUAUGAAUGGCAUAACGAGGGCUUAACUGUCUCCUUUUUCUGGUCAAUGAAAUUGAUCUCCCCGUGCAGAAGCGGGGAUAAGCCCAUAAGACGAGAAGACCCUGUGGAGCUUUAGACAACAGGACAGACCAUGUUAACAGCUUCUGAUCAAGGAAAAGAACCGAUUGGACCUCUGCCCUAAUGUCUUUGGUUGGGGCGACCGCGGGGGAACAUCAAUCCCCCAUGUGGAAUAGGAGCACCCCUCCUACAACCAAGAGCUACGGCUCUAAGCAACAGAACUUCUGACCAUCAAGAUCCGGCAACGCCGAUCAACGAACCGAGUUACCCCAGGGAUAACAGCGCAAUCCUCUUUUAGAGCCCAUAUCGACAAGGGGGUUUACGACCUCGAUGUUGGAUCAGGACAUCCUAAUGGUGCAGCCGCUAUUAAGGGUUCGUUUGUUCAACGAUUAAAGUCCUACGUGAU
This 510-nucleotide ribosomal RNA is filed under the name Hypoatherina celebesensis (Sulawesi silverside). RNAcentral's name for it is "partial 16S rRNA". It matches the Rfam family "Bacterial large subunit ribosomal RNA", at positions 1942 to 2604 of the family's 2925-position model. Lineage: Eukaryota; Metazoa; Chordata; Actinopteri; Atheriniformes; Atherinidae. The record is from RNAcentral.